GCAAACUUGGUCAUUUAGAGGAAGUAAAAGUCGUAACAAGGUCUCCGUUGGUGAACCAGCGGAGGGAUCAUUAAAGAGUUUCGUAACUCCUAAACCCAUGUGAACAUACCUGACGUUGCCUCGGCAGGUCGCGCCUACGCCUACCCUGUAAGUCUUACCCUGUAAGUCCUACCCGGUAGACGCCGGUAAGCCUGCCGGCGGCCCGCGAAACUUUGUCUAGUAUUGAAUUCUGAACGUAUAAAUUAAAAAGUUAAAACUUUCAACAACGGAUCUCUUGGUUCUGGCAUCGAUGAAGAACGCAGC
Molecule: unclassified non-coding RNA, 303 nt
Filed under: uncultured fungus
Lineage: Eukaryota; Fungi
Description: partial contains small subunit ribosomal RNA, internal transcribed spacer 1, and 5.8S ribosomal RNA
Rfam family: Eukaryotic small subunit ribosomal RNA (bases 1-73)
Source: RNAcentral